UUAGGUGUGGCCUUUCUCUCCCUACCCACAAUCCACCGCGCGACUCGAAGAAUUGGCGGGUGACCAGGUAACAAAAAAAGAGAAAUAAAUGAGUGUUUCCGGAUUACCACGCUAUGAUCCCAUGGAGCUUGUUUCCGCCAAGGGGAGUGUUCCAUACUGCUGACGGUUUCCCAGGCAACCAGAGGCCAGGACCUUCACUAGGAGAAAUUGAAAGGUAAGCUGUAGCGGAAAAAAGCAGAUGUUUGGAUGUUUCACCCUUCUGGGAACAGGAUGAAGGUCAAGGCGGAGACUGCUGACUCGGACCAAUGACAAACAGUAUUAUUCUUCUAAGAUGUCUGGUUUACAAGUCAUGACCACUUGGGGAAAAAAGGAAGUUCACUUCCUGUCCCCUCCCGUGGUGGUCUUCAAAGUGGGCCCCUGCACUGUGACACACACGCCCCACUGCUCUCCCUGUGGACGAGCACCCCAACCCCUCAGCAGCCGCUGCUCUGCGCCAGUCGUGUGUGUGAGUGUAUGUCUCGACGGACCGACGGCUGAUGGAGGCCGAGCUGAGGGAACGCGACGAGAACCGUGACCUCCGUGGGAGCAAAAUUACGGCUGAUCCCAGCUCAGACUUCCCGGGGAGAAGCUUCGUGACCGACUCCAGAGCUGGCCCGAUAUCAGAGGUUAUGAUCAUGCUGUUGGGGUUAUCUCGGUCCAUUCAUCCAAGAGGCUCAAAGAUAUGGAGACAGCUGUCCGCCUUCAUCUUCAUCAUGGCUGCCAUGCCCGUGAGUAAUCUCUGAUUUCACUCUGAUUGCAUCUCCAGAGGCCUGACUCAGCCAUAUUGGCUUUGGUCGCACAAAUGUGGUCAUGCUUCAGAUGCUCAUAAAUACAGUACAUGCAUACAGUACAUGACUGUGUAUUGUCCAUGGAAGUGAUCUUGAUGGAUGUUCCUGGAGGUUCCAUAUUAAGUGAAG
This is a long non-coding RNA of Hippocampus comes (tiger tail seahorse), 956 nucleotides long. RefSeq lists it as uncharacterized. The record is from RefSeq and is a predicted model, not a curated record. The transcript is spliced from 8 exons. NCBI's taxonomy places the organism in Eukaryota, Metazoa, Chordata, Actinopteri, Syngnathiformes, Syngnathidae.